This 253-nucleotide ribosomal RNA is filed under the name uncultured bacterium. RNAcentral describes it as "partial 16S ribosomal RNA". It matches the Rfam family "Bacterial small subunit ribosomal RNA", at positions 524 to 776 of the family's 1533-position model. The record is from RNAcentral.
UACGUAAGGAGCAAGCGUUAUCCGGAAUUAUUGGGUGUAAAGCGUCCACAGGUGGUCGGGUAAGUCUGUCAUUAAAGACCGGUGCUCAACAUCGGCAAUGUGAUGGAAACUGUUCGACUAGAGGAUGGGAGAGGCAUAUGGAAUUGCGCAAGUAGGGGUAAAAUCCGUAGAUAUGCGCAGGAACACCAAAAGCGAAGGCAGUAUGCUGGACCAUUCCUGACACUCAAGGACGAAAGCGUGGGGAUCAAAACGG